GACGAACGCUGGCGGCGUGCUUAACACAUGCAAGUCGAACGGAAAGGCCCUGCUUUUGUGGGGUGCUCGAGUGGCGAACGGGUGAGUAACACGUGAGUAACCUUCCCUUGACUUUGGGAUAACUUCAGGGAACUGGGGCUAAUACCGGAUAGGAGCUCCUGCUGCAUGGUGGGGGUUGGAAAGUUUCGGCGGUUGGGGAUGGACUCGCGGCUUAUCAGCUUGUUGGUGAGGUAGUGGCUUACCAAGGCUUUGACGGGUAGCCGGCCUGAGAGGGUGACCGGCCACCUGGGGCCUGAGAUACGGCGCAGACUCCUACGGGAGGCAGCAGUGGGGAAUAUUGCACAAUGGGCGGAAGCCUGAUGCAGCAACGCCGCGUGCGGGAUGACGGCCUUCGGGUUGUAAACCGCUUUCGACUGUGACGAAGCGUGAGUGACGGUAAUGGGUAAAGAAGCACCGGCUAACUACGUG
RNAcentral lists this ribosomal RNA (468 nucleotides) under uncultured bacterium. RNAcentral's name for it is "partial 16S ribosomal RNA". It matches the Rfam family "Bacterial small subunit ribosomal RNA", at positions 28 to 507 of the family's 1533-position model. The record is from RNAcentral.